Nymphaea colorata (pocket water lily) is the source of this 1353-nucleotide RNA transcript. It is a transcript of the gene named protein unc-13 homolog, with no coding region annotated. NCBI's taxonomy places the organism in Eukaryota, Viridiplantae, Streptophyta, Magnoliopsida, Nymphaeales, Nymphaeaceae. The record is from RefSeq and is a predicted model, not a curated record. The transcript has 5 exons.
UAUGUGUUGGGUGUGCGGACGGAUGAGUUUUGGCAGUUUAGGCUCUGUGGAUGUUAUCUUGCUUAAACCCUUGCCAGAGUUUGUUUUCUUUCUUGUUUGAUGGAUCAUUUUACUUCAUCUCCCUUUUUCCUCCUAGCUGGAAUUCUUUUUAGGGUUUCUCUCAAUUUCUGAGGAAUUUUUCGCCUAUUCAGUUGAAUGCGGGCUGUGAUUACGGGCUUCUUUCUUUCGUCUUCAUUUCGUGCUUUCUGAUCAGUUGGAGUGUUGAACAUUGCAAGUUGAUUUUCCUUUGAUUUAUUGUUUCUCUUCUCGAACGUUAUCGGUGAUUAGAUUUAGUACAUGUUUGGCGUGCAGAUGGAUUAGUUUGGCGGUUCAGGCGCUGUGGAUGUUCUCUUGCUUAAACCCUUGCCAGAGUUUGUUUCCUUUGUUGUUUGAUGCACCGAGAGAGUUUGAAGAGUUUUUGGGUGGUCCCUUGUGGGUUUUACGAUUGCACACUUGUAGAACAGAAUGGGCGAUCUGGGCAUUGAGGCGCGGAAGCCACUCCUAGGUUUGUCUACUUCGCUUGAGGGCAAAAGGAGGAGCAAGAAGAAAGUGCUCGAGAAUGAAGGUGAAAUACAAAGGAGUGAAUGCCUCAGAUCUCUGAGGGAUAUUUCCCUUGCACUUGCUGAGAUGCCUGCACGUGGUGAUCUAACAGGUGAUGUCUGUCACUCGGCAGAUGGUUACCAUCUCAAUGUUAAAGUAUAUGAGAAGCUGCUAUUUAGUGUUUUUGACAUACUGGACAAGGGCAAACUUGGAAGUAGGAGAUUCUUGAACUCUUGAAAUCAAUCUGGCAAAUUCUAGGAAUCACAAGGACUAUCCAUGGUAUAUGCUAUGCUUGGGUCUUAUUUCAGCAGUUUAUCAUAACUGGUGAACAACGGCUUCUACAACAUGCCACUGAAAUGCUAAGAAAGAUUCCACUAAAAUAACAGCGAAGUGGUGAUGGUUUGCUUGAGAGCUUGACAGUACGUGCACAGCUGGUCAUUAAACUACAUGGCCUUGAUGUUAGUUUCUUUUGUCACAACAUAGUAGUGCAGAGUUGCCGUCCAUUGAUUGACACUUCGAAGUUUACAUCAUUAUCACAGAUAUCUUGUUUGUUCCGAAGAAAAGGUGAUGUUGAUGGUAAAAAAAAUAUGGAAAAAAGCAUGAUUUUUUCACCAAAACAAAUUUAAUGUGUUUUUUCCCAUGUUUUUUGUUUUUCUUUUUUUGACGUUAAUAUCAUGGAUUACACUUUAAACUUAAACUAAAUUAUUUAUCAUUGUUUAUCAUGAUUAAAACAUUAUUUUUAUCAUAAUAUUCUAGUUGUUUUUUUAUGUCUUG